RNAcentral lists this ribosomal RNA (371 nucleotides) under uncultured bacterium. RNAcentral's name for it is "bacterial SSU rRNA". It matches the Rfam family "Bacterial small subunit ribosomal RNA", at positions 527 to 896 of the family's 1533-position model. The record is from RNAcentral.
GGAGGGUGCAAGCGUUAAUCGGAAUUAUUGGGCGUAAAGGGCGCGUAGGCGGUCCGAAAAGUCAGACGUGAAAUCCCAGGGCUCAACCCUGGAACAGCACCUGAAACUUUCAGACUAGAGGGUAGGCGGAGAAAACGGAAUUCCACAAGUAGCGGUGAAAUGCGUAGAUAUGUGGAAGAACACCGGUGGCGAAGGCGGUUUUCUAGCUUAUUCCUGACGCUGAAGCGCGAAAGCAAGGGGAUCAAACAGGAUUAGAUACCCUGGUAGUCCUUGCCGUAAACUAUGUAUACUUGGUGUAACUGGACUCAACCCCAGUUGUGCCGUAGCUAACGCGAUAAGUAUACCGCCUGGGGAGUACGCUCGCAAGGGUG